CAGCAGUAGCCGCGGUAAAACGGAGGGUGCAAGCGUUAAUCGGAAUUACUGGGCGUAAAGCGCACGCAGGCGGUCUGACAAGUCAGAUGUGAAAUCCCCGGGCUUAACCUGGGAACUGCAUUUGAAACUGUCAGGCUGGAGUCUUGUAGAGGGGGGUGGAAUUCCAGGUGUAGCGGUGAAAUGCGUAGAGAUCUGGAGGAAUACCGGUGGCGAAGGCGGCCCCCUGGACAAAGACUGACGCUCAGGUGCGAAAGCGUGGGGAGCAAACAGGAUUAGAUACCCGGGUAGUCCCUGUCUCUUAUAC
Molecule: ribosomal RNA, 304 nt
Filed under: uncultured bacterium
Lineage: Bacteria
Description: partial 16S ribosomal RNA
Rfam family: Bacterial small subunit ribosomal RNA
Source: RNAcentral